RNAcentral lists this ribosomal RNA (492 nucleotides) under uncultured bacterium. Its description in RNAcentral is "partial 16S ribosomal RNA". It matches the Rfam family "Bacterial small subunit ribosomal RNA", at positions 29 to 507 of the family's 1533-position model. The record is from RNAcentral.
AGUGAACGCUGACGGUAGGCCUAACACAUGCAAGUCGAACGGCAGCACAGUAAGAGCUUGCUCUUACGGGUGGCGAGUGGCGGACGGGUGAGGAGUACAUCGGAAUCUACUUUUUCGUGGGGGCUAACGUAGGGAAACUUACGCUAAUACCGCAUACGACCUACGGGUGAAAGCAGGGGAUCUUCGGACCUUGCGCGAUUGAAUGAGCCGAUGUCGGAUUAGCUAGUUGGCGGGGUAAAGGCCCACCAAGGCGACGAUCCGUAGCUGGUCUGAGAGGAUGAUCAGCCACACUGGAACUGAGACACGGUCCAGACUCCUACGGGAGGCAGCAGUGUGGAAUAUUGGACAAAGGGCGCAAGCCUGAUCCAGCCAUACCGCGUGGGUGAAGAAGGCCUUCGGGUUGUAAAGCCCUUUUGUUGGGAAAGAAAAGCAGCAGGUUAAUACCCCGCUGUUCUGACGGUACCCAAAGAAUAAGCACCGGCUAACUUCGUG